AUGAACGCUGGCGGCGUGCCUAAUCCCUGCAAGUCGCGCAAACGGACGAGAAGCUUGCUUCUCUGAUGUUAGCGGCGGACGGGUGAGUAACACGUGGAUAACCUACCUAUAAGACUGGGAUAACUUCGGGAAACCGGAGCUAAUACCGGAUGAUAUUUUGAACCGCAUGGUUCAAAAGUGACAGACGGUCUUGCUGUCACUUAUAGAUGGAUCCGCGCUGCAUUAGCUAGUUGGUAAGGUAACGGCUUACCAAGGCAACGAUGCAUAGCCGACCUGAGAGGGUGAUCGGCCACACUGGAACUGAGACACGGUCCAGACUCCUACGGGAGGCAGCAGUAGGGAAUCUUCCGCAAUGGGCGAAAGCCUGACGGAGCAACGCCGCGUGAGUGAUGAAGGUCUUCGGAUCGUAAAACUCUGUUAUUAGGGAAGAACAUAUGUGUAAGUAACUGUGCACAUCUUGACGGUACCUAAUCAGAAAGCCACGGCUAACUACGUG
This 496-nucleotide ribosomal RNA is filed under the name uncultured bacterium. RNAcentral's name for it is "partial 16S ribosomal RNA". It matches the Rfam family "Bacterial small subunit ribosomal RNA", at positions 29 to 507 of the family's 1533-position model. The record is from RNAcentral.